Molecule: RNA transcript, 1589 nt
Organism: Neofelis nebulosa (Clouded leopard)
Lineage: Eukaryota; Metazoa; Chordata; Mammalia; Carnivora; Felidae
Gene name: DLA class I histocompatibility antigen, A9/A9 alpha chain-like
Exons: 9
Source: RefSeq, a predicted model, not a curated record
AAGAAGCCAAUCAGCGGCACCGCGGUUCCGGGGUAUCAAGUUUCCGCACCCGCCACUCACAUUUCAACCCAGACCCCAAGGAUGCCGGUCGUGAUGCCCACAACUCUGCUCCUGCUGCUGUCGGGGGCCCUGGCCGUGACCCAGGCCUGGGCGGGCUCCCACUCCCUGAGGUAUUUCUACACCGCGGUGUCCCGGCCCGGCCUCGGGGAGCCCCGCUUCAUCGCCGUGGGCUACGUGGACGACACGCAGUUCGUGCGGUUCGACACCGACGCCCCGAAUCCGAGGAUGGAGCCGCGGGCCCCGUGGGUGGAGCAAGAGGGGCCGGAGUAUUGGGACCGGGAGACGCGGAACGCGAAAAACAGCGCACAGACUUUAACAGUGAGCUUGCACAUCACGCGCGGCUACUACAACCAGAGCGAGUCCGGGUCGCACAACAUCCAGUGGACGUAUGGCUGUGACGUCGGACCGGACGGCCGCCUCCUCCGCGGGUACAGUCUGGAGUCCUAUGAUGGCAAGGAUUACAUCGCCCUGAACGAGGACCUGCGCUCCUGGACCGCGGCGGACACAGCGGCGCAGAUCACCCGCCGCAAGUGGGAGGUUGCUGGUGGGGCAGAGCGCUGGAGGAACUACCUGGAGGGCACGUGCGUGGAGUGGCUCGCCAAAUACCUGGAGAUGGGGAAGGAGACGCUGCUGCGCGCAGAAUCUCCCAAAACACACGUGACCCGCCACCAGAUCUCUGACCGUGAGGUGACCCUGAGGUGCUGGGCCCUGGGCUUCUACCCUGCGGAGAUCACCCUGACCUGGCAGCGUGAUGGGCAGGACCACACCCAGGACGCAGAGCUUGUGGACACCAGGCCUGCGGGAGAUGGGACCUUCCAGAAGUGGGCGGCUGUGGUGGUGUCUUCUGGAGAGGAGCAGAGAUACACGUGCCAUGUGCAGCACGAGGGACUGACCGAGCCCAUCACCCUGAGAUGGGAGCCAUCCUCUCAGCCCUCCAUCCCCAUCCCGGGCAUCAUUGCUGGUGUGGUUGUCCUUGUGGUCACUGUGGUGGUUGGAGCUGUGAUCUGGAGGAAGAAGUUUUCAGGAGGAAAAGGACCAAGCUAUUCUCAUGCUGCACGCGAUGACAGUACUCAGGGCUCUGAUUCAUCUCUAAUGGCUCCUAAAGUGUGAGACCCACUGCUUUUGGUGGACUGAGCGAUGCAGGAUCUGUUCACACUCCCACUUGGUGACAUCGAGAUCCCCUGACUUCCUGCAGAUGGUGUCAGAAUGUGUCUGCGUUCCUAUUAGCAUAUUGUGAGGACACAGGAGACUGGCCCCCCCUGCCCACCAUGACCCCUCCCCGUACUGAUUCCUGUUCACUUUCUGACCUGCUUUCCUGUUCCAGCAGAGUCCGUGCUGGACCGUCUCCGUCCCCGUUUUUUUUUCAUGUUGGGCCGAGUACUGACGCCUUACUUCCCCACUGAAAAUGAGAAUCCAGAUAUGAAUUUGUGUUUUGUAAUUCUUGGCAUGUGGGGAUGAUGAGGUAAUAAAAGAGAAGGUUUGUAAAAUUGCAAGAGAAAAUAAAUGAAAGCCCUGAGAACCUCCCAGAA